ACAAAUUCCCUCCAGAGGAGAAGGAAAAGGAACAAAUUUCUCCCGAGGAGAAGGGAAAGGAACGAAUUUCCUCCGUAAUGGGCAAGACGGAGCAAAGGAAUGGGAAACGGAAUGAGAAGGAAUUCCAAGUGGAAAAGGAGCGAAGAAAAAAAUGGAACCCAACCCAUCGAUCUCCCUAAGAUAGAGUGGCCGUGGUUGCUGUGGCGCUCGCGAUCUAGCAACUUCAGAGCAGAGGAAGAGAGGGGGCAUCGGCCCAGGAGCUGCGGUCGGGGACGAGGACGAGUCCAGCAGCUACAAGGAGAUGAUCAUGUCGCUCCUGACCAGCACGGGGCUGUUCAACAUCAGCGACUUCGUGCCGGCGCGGUCGUGGCUGCGCCAAGUUGCGCCGGGUGCACCGCCAGUUCGACGGGCUCAUUACGCAGCCGCUGGCGGAGCACGCGGCAACGGCCGAGGAGCGCGCCCGGGAGGAAGGCCGGCUGGACUUCGUGGACAGGCUCCGGUUGGUGGCCUGGAGUAGGCCACGGCGAGGCGGUCAACGCGAGCCGCGAGCAGAGGACGAAGCGAGGAUGAGCGGCGCGGGAUUGUCCGAACCUCUGGGGGAUGCCGUAGGUGGCGGAGGCUGUGGGCGGGGCCGUC
RNAcentral lists this ribosomal RNA (636 nucleotides) under Triticum aestivum (bread wheat). Its description in RNAcentral is "partial small subunit ribosomal RNA". The record is from RNAcentral. Lineage: Eukaryota; Viridiplantae; Streptophyta; Magnoliopsida; Poales; Poaceae.